Callorhinus ursinus (northern fur seal) is the source of this 1375-nucleotide long non-coding RNA. RefSeq lists it as uncharacterized. The record is from RefSeq and is a predicted model, not a curated record. Lineage: Eukaryota; Metazoa; Chordata; Mammalia; Carnivora; Otariidae.
CAAAUAGAGUGUGCUGUGGGACAGUUCUUCCCUGAUGUCCCUGACACCAUCACCUAACUCAGAGGCAGCCAGAGGGGAGUCCAGGCUAUAGUCAAGCCUUUCGCUGAAACUGGUAUUAUCAAAGACCUCAGGCUUUAAUCACUACUCCAGGAGACAGAAGGGGCAGGAAGGCAGGUUCUGUGUUCAUUCAGCUACCUGCUCAGCUAAAUGAUUUGGAAACCAGCUCUGUAGUUAGACUGCCGGGUUCUAGUCCUGAGCUCCUUCCCUGACUACCCUCGAGGCUGAGAGCAAGUUACCCAGUGCCUCAAUUUCUCCACCUGCAAAAUGAGGGGGGUCACUGGAACUGGGCUGCAAUGGAGAUGGAAUGAGAGAAUCCAUAUGCACCUGGCACAUAAGAACGGCUCAGAAGAUGGUAGCUGCUAUGAGCAUUAUUUUUUCCAGUUAGGAACUAAGGAUCCUGAAAUCUCAAGCUAUUCAAGGUGAAGUUAACAAGAAGAGAAUCGCCAAGUCUCAGGGUACAGAAACUUACUGACACCCUCAGUGAAAUCGAACCCAGCUCCUCCAAGGCUGGCGGUAGAAGUGAAAUUCUCACAGGGGUAGGGAAGGGUUGCAACCUUCCUCACUCACAGGGGCACCAGUGAGAUGCAGGAGAAACCUCCAGGGAAAGGUGAAUCUUGGGAGACAGAGCCAAGAGAUCCCGCCAUCCUUCCCAUGGGGAGAAUCUCCUGGCAGCCAGAGCCAACCUCGAAGGAAGCGGAUUUGAUUUUAUUAAGGAAGUCAACACGUUUCCUUCCAUCCAACGUGGACUCUGUGUUGUUUAGAUUAUUGGUUUCCAGGAUGUGAAAUGUCAUCCUAGGACAGAACCUGGAAAAAAACGGGCCAAAUGCCUCUUUAGAGAGCUUCAGCCAACUAUUGAAGAAAGUGGAGCCUGCCUUCCGGAUACUUAACAACCAAACCAUAUGCCAUUCAGAGAGCAACAGUAACAACUGAGGUCCUGGGCUCAGUGCUGUGGGAAGAUACAAAAAAAAAGCACAAGCAUCUGCAUCAGUCACUAUGCUUAAGAAAGUGUGCGGAGAGAGAGAAGAGACUAGGACGGGAUGCACACAGCACAGCCACUAUGUUGUGAGGAAGCCCAGGCAACAUGGAGAAGCCACGUGUGGAUGUUCCUGCCAACAGGCACCUAGCUGGUAACCAGCCUCAGUAACCAGUGAGUGAGUAAAGGAGUGAGUAAAGGAGCCUGUGAGAGACACCAGCCCCCAGCCUUCAUCAACAACUGUAAUCUGAAGCCCCAGACAUCCCAGGGCAGAGAAUAGCCAUCCUCACUGUGUUUGGUCUGAAUUACUAACCAAUAGAAAUCUUGAGAUAAUAAAUGAUU